CCUACGGGAGGCAGCAGCCGCGGUAAUUUUGGGCAAUGGGCGAAAGCCUGACCCAGCAACGCCGCGUGAAGGAUGAAAUCCCUCGGGAUGUAAACUUCGCAAGAACGGGAAGAAUAAGUAAGGGUUAAUAUCCCUUGUGAUGACGGUACUGUUUGUAAGCUCCGGCUAACUCCGUGCCAGCAGCCGCGGUAAU
RNAcentral lists this ribosomal RNA (193 nucleotides) under uncultured bacterium. RNAcentral's name for it is "partial 16S ribosomal RNA". It matches the Rfam family "Bacterial small subunit ribosomal RNA", at positions 338 to 524 of the family's 1533-position model. The record is from RNAcentral.